RNAcentral lists this ribosomal RNA (511 nucleotides) under uncultured bacterium. RNAcentral's name for it is "bacterial SSU rRNA". It matches the Rfam family "Bacterial small subunit ribosomal RNA", at positions 32 to 518 of the family's 1533-position model. The record is from RNAcentral.
AAUCAACGCUGGCGGCGUGCCUCAGACAUGCAAGUCGAACGCGAAAGUUCCCUUCGGGGAAUAAGUAGAGUGGCGCACGGGUGAGUAACACGUAGGUAAUCUACCUUCGGGUGGGGAAUAACCCAGGGAAACUUGGGCUAACACCGCAUGAUGCAGCGGCACCACAUGGUGACAGUCGUUAAAGCGGGGGGAUUUUCGGACCUCGCGCCUGAAGAGGAGCCUGCGGCGGAUUAGCUAGNGGUGAGGUAACGGCUCACCAAGGUCACGAUCCGUAGCCGGCCUGAGAGGGCGGUCGGCCACACUGACACUGACAUACGGGUCAGACUCCCACGGGAGGCAGCAGUCGGGAAUUUUGGGCAAUGGGCGAAAGCCUGACCCAGCAACGCCGCGUGAAGGAUGAAAUCCCUCGGGAUGUAAACUUCGCAAGAAUGGGAAGAAUGAACGAGCGCUAAUACCGUUCGUGAUGACGGUACCAUUUGCAAGCUCCGGCUAACUCCGUGCCAGCCGCCGC